UACGGGGGGGGCAAGCGUUGUUCGGAAUUACUGGGCGUAAAGGGCUCGUAGGUGGCCAACUAAGUCAUACGUGAAAUCCCUCGGCUUAACCGGGGAACUGCGUCUGAUACUGGAUGGCUUGAGGUUGGGAGAGGGAUGCGGAAUUCCAGGUGUAGCGGUGAAAUGCGCAGAUAUCAGGAGGAACACCGGUGGCGAAGGCGGGUCUCUGGGCAGUAACUGACGCUGAGGUGCGAAAGCGUGGGGAGCAAACAGG
This 253-nucleotide ribosomal RNA is filed under the name uncultured bacterium. RNAcentral describes it as "partial 16S ribosomal RNA". It matches the Rfam family "Bacterial small subunit ribosomal RNA", at positions 524 to 776 of the family's 1533-position model. The record is from RNAcentral.